RNAcentral lists this ribosomal RNA (904 nucleotides) under uncultured bacterium. RNAcentral describes it as "bacterial SSU rRNA". It matches the Rfam family "Bacterial small subunit ribosomal RNA", at positions 8 to 916 of the family's 1533-position model. The record is from RNAcentral.
AGAGUUUGAUCAUGGCUCAGGACGAACGCUGGCGGCGUGCCUAAUGCAUGCAAGUCGAGCGGGCUACGAUCUUCGGAUUGUAGCUUAGCGGCGAACGGGUGAGUAACACGUAGGUGAUCUACCCUUCAGAGGAGGACAACCUCAGGAAACUGAGGCUAAACCUUCAUACGUUCACUGGUAGGGAUACUGGUGAAGAAAGAGUUACCCCUAGAGGGUAGCUGCUGAAGGAUGAGCCUGCGGCCCAUCAGGUAGUUGGUGAGGUAACGGCUCACCAAGCCGAAGACGGGUAACCGGUCUGAGAGGAUGUCCGGUCACACUGGGACUGAGACACGGCCCAGACUCCUACGGGAGGCAGCAGCAGGGAAUCUUGGGCAAUGGGCGAAAGCCUGACCCAGCGACGCCGCGUGGAGGAAGAAGUCCUUCGGGGCGUAAACUCCUGGACUGGGGGACGAGGAAGGACGGUACCCCAGUAGAAAGGGACGGCUAACUACGUGCCAGCAGCCGCGGUAAAACGUAGGUCCCGAGCGUUGUUCGGAUUCACUGGGUGUAAAGGGCGCGUAGGUGGUUGUCUGUGUCUCAUGUGAAAACUCAGGGCUCAACUCUGAGAUUGCGUGGGAAACUAGGCAGCUAGAGGACGGUAGAGGGGAGUGGAAUUCCCGGUGUAGCGGUAAAAUGCGUAGAUAUCGGGAGGAACACCGGUGGCGAAGGCGGCUCUCUGGGCCGAUCCUGACGCUGAGGCGCGAAAGCUAGGGGAGCGAACCGGAUUAGAUACCCGGGUAGUCCUAGCCGUAAACGAUGGGUGCUAGGUGUUGGGGGGUAAAGACCCUUCAGUGCCGAAGCCAACGCGAUAAGCAUCCCACCUGGGGAGUACGGCCGCAAGGUUGAAACUCAAAUGAAUUGACGG